This 706-nucleotide long non-coding RNA is filed under the name Numida meleagris (helmeted guineafowl). RNAcentral's name for it is "lncRNA (ENSNMEG00000017161.1)". The record is from RNAcentral. Lineage: Eukaryota; Metazoa; Chordata; Aves; Galliformes; Numididae.
GCAGAACGAAGCUCCUGUUCUCACCUUUCUAGAGUAGAGUAGAGUUUAGAUUUCAUCUCAUGCAUUGACUUUGAGAGUGCCAAUGUAAAUACUAGAAAACUAGUACAAUAUUACGUUUUUCUUUAUUAUUAAAACAGCAGAAAUCCUGUUUCCUGUGGAUUUCUAACUUAAAAACUGGAGUACUGGAAUGUAGAUUGGAUCUGACAUAAUGUAGUUUUAUGGAACCUUGAUUCCAAAAUCAGAUGAGUAGCAUUGUCCAGAUUUCAUAAUGUAAUUUCACAUGAUUGCAUAGUUUUUCAAAGAAUAUUUCAAGAACUUUCGCUGUUGUCAGGUGGAAGCUAAAGGUGGCUAUAUUUUUUUCACUUGUUUUUCUUUUCUCUCACAGUAAGUUGAUGGACUAAUCCCAGGAAAGAAUACAGCCAAGCAGCCUCUCCCUUCCCUUCCUCUGCACUGAUCACAGCAUGGCUCCACAUGUCCCACCUUAGGUUUGUCACAGAAAGUACUGAUGUAAAACAGGACUGACAAGUGUACGGAGCUGUCAGGAUCUGAAAGCUUGCAGGUGUCUGUCUGCCUCUUACUGCUGGGAUUGGACUCCAAAGCCUGUGGAAGGACUGACGGUCUUCAAGCAGUGUAACAGAGGUGAGCCCUGAAAGCCUCUUUCUAAGCUUUCUUCUGGUGCUCUUACUGCAUCGAGACAGGAGUAACC